GAGUGAAAGAAGAGAAGGAAACAAAAAGAACGUAAUGAAUGAACAAUGAGUGAGAGAAGAGAGCGUUCAUUCCUUGUUCCUUUCUUCUUUGUUCCUUUUGUUUUCAAUUAAAUUACAAUGGAAUGAAAUGUAAGCGUGAAUUUAAUUGAAAAACAAAAGAGAACAAAGACAAAGGAACGUAAUGUGUGUUUUAUUUGUUUCUU
Molecule: non-coding RNA, 203 nt
Filed under: Symbiodinium sp. CCMP2430
Lineage: Eukaryota; Dinophyceae; Suessiales; Symbiodiniaceae
Source: RNAcentral